UAUACCAUAGUAUAAGAAGUACAUUAGCUUUUGAUGCUAUAGGGGAUAGUUUAAUUCUAUCGGGUGUAA
This 69-nucleotide transfer RNA is filed under the name Bostrichoidea sp. 9 KM-2017. RNAcentral's name for it is "tRNA-Gln". It matches the Rfam family "tRNA". From Rfam's summary of the family: Transfer RNA (tRNA) molecules are approximately 80 nucleotides in length. Their secondary structure includes four short double-helical elements and three loops (D, anti-codon, and T loops). Further hydrogen bonds mediate the characteristic L-shaped molecular structure. tRNAs have two regions of fundamental functional importance: the anti-codon, which is responsible for specific mRNA codon recognition, and the 3' end, to which the tRNAs corresponding amino acid is attached (by aminoacyl-tRNA synthetases). tRNAs cope with the degeneracy of the genetic code in two manners: having more than one tRNA (with a specific anti-codon) for a particular amino acid; and 'wobble' base-pairing, i.e. permitting non-standard base-pairing at the 3rd anti-codon position. The record is from RNAcentral. Lineage: Eukaryota; Metazoa; Arthropoda; Insecta; Coleoptera.